GACGAACGCUGGCGGCGUGCUUAACACAUGCAAGUCGAACGGAAAGGCCCUGCUUUUGUGGGUUGCUCGAGUGGCGAACGGGUGAGUGACACGUGAGUAACAUGCCCUUGACUUUGGGAUAACUUCAGGAAACUGCGGCUAAUACCGGAUAUGAGCUCCUGCUGCAUGUUGGGGGUUGGAAAGUUUCGGCGGUUGGGGAUGGACUCGCUGCUUAUCAGCUUGUUGGUGGGGUAGUGGCUUACCAAGGCUUUGACGGGUAGCCGGCCUGAGAGGGUGACCGGCGACAAUAGGACUGCGAUACGGACCAGAAUCCUACGGUCGGCAGUGGUGGGGAAUAUGGCAGAGUGGGCGGAAGCGUGAGACAGCAACGUCGGGAGCGUGAAGAUGGGUUAUGAGUUGUAAACAGCUUUCGACUGAGACGAAGCGUGAGUGACGGUAAUGAGUAAAGAAGCACCGGCUAACUACGUG
This 468-nucleotide ribosomal RNA is filed under the name uncultured bacterium. RNAcentral describes it as "partial 16S ribosomal RNA". It matches the Rfam family "Bacterial small subunit ribosomal RNA", at positions 28 to 507 of the family's 1533-position model. The record is from RNAcentral.